GACGAACGCUGGCGGCGUGCUUAACACAUGCAAGUCGAACGAAAAGAGGGAAAGAGCUUGCUCUUUCCGGAAUUGAGUGGCAAACGGGUGAGUAACACGUAAACAACCUGCCUUCAGGAUGGGGACAACAGACGGAAACGACUGCUAAUACCGAAUAAGUUCCAAGAGCCGCAUGGCCCAUGGAAGAAAAGGUGGCCUCUACCUGUAAGCUAUCGCCUGAAGAGGGGUUUGCGUCUGAUUAGCUGGUUGGAGGGGUAACGGCCCACCAAGGCGACGAUCAGUAGCCGGUCUGAGAGGAUGAACGGCCACACUGGGACUGAGACACGGUCCAGACUCCUACGGGAGGCAGCAGUGGGGAAUCUUCCGCAAUGGGCGAAAGCCUGACGGAGCAACGCCGCGUGAGUGAUGACGGCCUUCGGGUUGUAAAACUCUGUGAUCCGGGACGAAAAGGCAGAGUGCGAAGAACAAACUGCAUUGACGGUACCGGAAAAGCAAGCCACGGCUAACUACGUG
This 513-nucleotide ribosomal RNA is filed under the name uncultured bacterium. Its description in RNAcentral is "partial 16S ribosomal RNA". It matches the Rfam family "Bacterial small subunit ribosomal RNA", at positions 28 to 507 of the family's 1533-position model. The record is from RNAcentral.